UACUAAUGCAACUGCGAAUAGCUGUUUAAUACAGUCGCAAUUGUAUUGACUUAGCAUAGAUAGUAUCUAUAAAUAUAUAAUAUUUUGGAUAACUAAGGGAAAGUUUGGCUAAUACGUUUAAAAUGUAUUUAAUAAUACAUAUGCAUAUAAUAAUAUUGCAACAUGAUAGAUAUUAUAUAAAUUAAAAUACUUUAAUAUGUAUUUUUAAUAGAGCAGACUUUAUAAUAUAUAUUAUUAUUAUAAAGCAUGUCAAACAAGCAUCUAUAGCAUCAAGUCACAAUGUUGGCAUGUGUAUUAUUGAACCUUCAAAGCAUUUACGCAUUCGGAGGAGUAGUUUCUGAUCCCGUCGAAGGUGCCUGAGAGACGGCACUUAGUUCUAAGGAACGCAGCAGGCGCGUAAAUUGCCCAAUGACAAAACAUGUAUUUUUAUUGAGGCAGUGACAAGCUGUAAAGAUUCAAUAUAUUAAUUAAGAUAACAUUUGGAAUUGUCCCUUUAUAAUAUUUUAUAUUAUUUUGGUUGAUAAUAUACCAAUGUUAUAAAAUAUUGAAUUUGAAUGCGGUGAAUUUAAUAAUUUCAAGUAACAUGUAUAUUUUAUAUGUUAUCUGAAUUUUCAAGUGGAGGGCAAGUCUGGUGCCAGCAGCCGCGGUAAUACCAGCUCCACUAGCUUAUACAAUCAUUGUUGCGGUUAAGAGGCUCGUAGUUGGAUUGAAUUAUAUUAACCAAUACUGUGAACAAACCAGAGUGUAUAAAACAUGUAAUAUUUUAUAUUAUGCAAUGAAUGUUUUAUCAUGGAAUAUUGCUAUAAUAUUUCGAUGGAGAUAGUUGGAGUUAAGAGUACUGAUAGGCGAGCGGUGAAAUGCAUUGACCCUAUUAAGACUAACAAAAGCGAAAGCACUUAACUAGAUUAUUCUCUUUGUAUUAUUACAAUGAAGAGCGAAGGUUGGGGGAACAAAGAGGAUCAGAUACCCUCGUAGUCCUAUUUUUUACAUCAAACUAUGGGAUUUCAAUUGUAUAUUUAACCAUAUUAAAAUAUGAUUGAGUUUAUUAAAUUAUAUAUAUACUCUCAUAUAAUAAUAUUAUAAUAUUAUAUGUACUUUGCGCUCAUAUAAUAAUAUAGGUGAGAUGUAAGCAUUAUUGGUUUACAAUAUACUUAUAUAUUAUUUAAUUAAUAUAUAAUGUAUUAUUGUAAUCCUAAAUUAUAAAUAUAAUGUGAUGCACGUUUUAGGUACGAGCUUACUAUAGAAAUAUUUAAAAUAAUACCCUCCUGGGGUAGUAUGCACGCAAGUGUGAAACUUGAAGGAAUUGACGGAAGGGCACCACAAGAACGCGUGGAGCAUGUGGCUUAAUUUGACUCAACGCGGGAAAUCUUACCAGGUCCAGACAUAUUGAGGAUUGACAGGCGAUAGUUUAUUAUACUUAGUUGUAUAGUAAGCAUAAAAAUGAUAGUCCUUUCAUGAUUAUAUGAUAGGUGGUGCAUGGCCGUUCUUAGUUCGUGGAGUGAUUUGUCUGCUUAAUUGCGUUUCAGUUAAAUAAAAUAUAAUAAUAUACAUUAAUAUUUUAGUUCUGCCAAUAUUAUAUUGGAUUUAAAGUGAACAUAUUAUUGUUAUUAAUAUAUAAUAAAUGAAUGCAACGAACGUGACCGUAACCUUUUAUUGCUAUAAUAAAUAUAGCAUAAAAUUAAAGGAACCGCUGUCAUAAAUUAUAUGUGUUAAAAUAGAGUAAGAUUACGGCAAUAACAGGUCUGUGAUGCCCUCAGAUGUUCUGGGCUGCACACGUGCUACAAUAAUUACAUUAAUAAGUAUAUAUUACAUUAAUAAUUAUAUUAAUACAACCUAUUUCGAAAGUAAAUGGGUAAUCAUUUAAAAAUCGUGAUUAUUAUAAAAAUAAUUAAUUUAAGGUGGGGAUAGUGUAUUGUUAAUUAUUACACUUGGCCUUAACUAGGAAUGCCUUGUACUCUUCUUUGGUUUAACAUACCAAGAGGAAUACGUCCCUGCCCUUUGUACACACCGCCCGUCGCUCUUACCGAUGAAUUAUAUUAUAAAUUUAAGGGAUUAUAAUAUAUAUUAAAAACUUAUAUACAUAAUGUGAUUUAAAGGAAAGAGAAGUCGUAACAAGGCAUCAGUAGGUGAACCU
RNAcentral lists this ribosomal RNA (2134 nucleotides) under Cyclorbiculina compressa. Its description in RNAcentral is "SSU rRNA". It matches the Rfam family "Eukaryotic small subunit ribosomal RNA". The record is from RNAcentral. Lineage: Eukaryota; Foraminifera; Miliolida; Soritidae.